Molecule: ribosomal RNA, 492 nt
Filed under: uncultured bacterium
Lineage: Bacteria
Description: partial 16S ribosomal RNA
Rfam family: Bacterial small subunit ribosomal RNA
Source: RNAcentral
GGUGAACGCUGGCGGUAGGCCUAACACAUGCAAGUCGAACGGCAGCACAGUAAGAGCUUGCUCUUACGGGUGGCGAGUGGCGGACGGGUGAGGAAUACAUCGGAAUCUACUUUUUCGUGGGGGAUAACGUAGGGAAACUUACGCUAAUACCGCAUACGACCUACGGGUGAAAGCAGGGGAUCUUCGGACCUUGCGCGAUUGAAUGAGCCGAUGUCGGAUUAGCUAGUUGGCGGGGUAAAGGCCCACCAAGGCGACGAUCCGUAGCUGGUCUGAGAGGAUGAUCAGCCACACUGGAACUGAGACACGGCCCAGACUCCUACGGGAGGCAGCAGUGGGGAAUAUUGGACAAUGGGCGCAAGCCUGAUCCAGCCAUACCGCGUGGGUGAAGAAGGCCUUCGGGUUGUAAAGCCCUUUUGUUGGGAAAGAAAAGCAGCAGGUUAAUACCCCGCUGUUCUGACGGUACCCAAAGAAUAAGCACCGGCUAACUUCGUG